RNAcentral lists this long non-coding RNA (1311 nucleotides) under Homo sapiens (human). RNAcentral describes it as "HSALNT0036407". The record is from RNAcentral. Lineage: Eukaryota; Metazoa; Chordata; Mammalia; Primates; Hominidae.
GCCAGUUGUUGUGUCUGUUAGUUUGUAUUUUAAAAGCACAUGCCACAAACUGCCUAUUCAGAGACCGGAUUUGCUAUGACUGUGAGAUGCUGUGCCUUGAUAUGCUGACAUUCUCCCAUGUCAUCUCUCUGCCUCUGGGAGCAAAUGUCCUCCAGCCCUACAGACACAUGCAGGGCCUCGGAAGACGUAUCUCUUUACUGCCACUCCGGCCACGCACAUGUCUGAUAAGAAGCAGUAUUAUAGUGAAUAGCCAGAGUCAAUAUUAAGUAUUGGAUAAGAAUGAAAGUAGUUUGGGAAUAAUUAUAACCACCUCCCCUACCCCAAAAAAUAUGCUGUUCAAAAGUCAGUCUGGAGACACAGAUAACAACCCUAUUUUUAUACCAACCCGACUGAAUUCUUAAUACAUGGCAAAAAAGAAGAUCAUGGCUUAACAUAAAGCAGGAGAUGUAAUAAAUAAUGAACUGCACUAACAGCUUAGCAUCAUAAGGAGACAGAUGGAAAACUUCUCUCCCGAGAUCACUGCUUCCAGAAUUAGAGAAAGGGCUUCUGGACGUGUUCAGGGUGGAUAGUUCAAGCCUGAAUUUCAAUGAGAUGGGAACACUUUUUAGUAUAAACGCAAGAUUUUCAUGUCUCCCUUUUAGGAAAAAUAGGGAUUAUGGCGUUCAUCUGUUUCAUCCAGAACUAGAAGCAAAACCCUAAACCUCAGACUCUUCCAGCAUGUCUGAUCCAAUCAAACAAGGGAAGAUGCUGCGGGUGCUUUGUAUGCUAAGGAAGUGCUACGAUGCCAUCGUCUGUCCAGGAAAAGAAAGGAACACCCAUCCAUGUGGUUAAGCCAUCAGAAAACUGGAGCAUUGGGAAUAAAGGAAUUAUUUCCACGAGACAAGCACGCCAGCCAUUGGCUCAUAAUGAGCUGAAAGACCAAUGACUGCUUCUCAGAGACUCCCUAGGGCCCAGUGUCCUGGGGGCAGACCUGUGGCUGAGUCAGCAUGGUGCACAGCAGAAAGUGGGGGGAGAGUGGCCAGCGCUGCCCCGGCGGGCUCUGUCUGCAUCACCUGGAGCGGCACAGACCCUUCAGUCUCCAUUCUCUCUUCAGGAAAGAGGCCUACUCGCAGAUGAACGCACCAAGGCUCAGGUAACCAAAGGAGUGCUCUGAAAGGUGAAAAGAGGAAGGUGAACUGAUUGGAAACUAAGGAGUGGAGGAACACCUUGGCAGCAUGGCUAUGCUGUGUGUACAACCUUCCACCCACUUGAAGAAAGAGACUCACAUCUGUGAUUCCCAACACCGAAGUUGCAAUAGGAAGUGGCCCAGGA